AAAAUUUAGGACAAUGAAAAAAGUUAAGGGUGAUAAAGAAAAGUAAAUAAUUUAUUUUCCUAAAAAAUUAUAAAUAAUAAAUAAAUUAAAACAAAUUUUUUUCUUUUAAAAAGUCAAUUAUUAUUAUAGAAGGGAGGGACUGGCAUGCUACUAGCAUACAAAGAAAGAGUUCAAAACUCGACCUUAGCUCAUAAAAAUGACUAAAGGGUUAAAAAGUACUAUUAAUAUUGUGCGUGCUGCUUCUUCUUCUUACAAAUUUGUACUAGCUCCUCCACCGCCCUACCAAUCUCUUGCUCUCCUUUCACUUUCAUUUUCUCACUCAAUUCCCUUGCUUUCCUCCUCAUAACCUCCCCAUUUUUCUCCAUCACGACUUUUCUUAUUACCUCUGCAAUCGCUUCUCUCUUAUACUUCCCAUUUUCAUCUCUCAUAACCUCCAUGCCCACACCAACCUCCGCCGCCAGCUUAGCAUUCAAAGGCUGAUCAAGAUGCCUGGCCAUGGCAAUUACUGGAACCCCAAACUUCACACUCUCCAUAAUAGAACUCCACCCACAAUGGCUCACAAACCCACCGGUGCUUGAAUGUCCUAAAAUUCUUGCCUGUGGAGCCCACCCCUCCACAACCAAUCCUCUGUCUCCUACCCUUUGAACAAACCCCUCUGGUAAAAUCCCUUUUUUCUCUCCUUCAGGAAAUCUCACAGCCAAUAUGAAACUAACCAUGCUAAUCUCUAGCCCAAUUGCUAAUUCUUCCAAUUCCUCAUUGGAGGGAAAAUACUCACUUCCAAAGCAGACAAACACCACUGUAGAUUCAGCCCUCUUGUCAAGCCAGUUUAUAAGAUGCCCUGUUUUUGGAUCUUCAUCAUGUCCCAUAGGAUCUUGAACGAGUGGACCAACAGGAACCAAAGUUUUCUUAGAUAAAGUGGAAAGAAAAUCAAUAUAUUUCCCUUCCAGUUCUCUAAAACUCUUAAUCAAAAUAAUGUCGCAAGAUCGUUUGAAACAAGCGACAAAAUCAUGAAAUAGCUUCAUUUUAUCUGCAGAAGGUGGUUCAGGGGUAAUAUUACUGUUAUCAUAAAAAUCUGGAAAUGGGUAUUUUUCACCUGAGUUUUUGAAAGCAUGUAGGCCCAUGGAAGAGGUGGCUGCUGCCGAGGUUAGGAAAUAAACUGCCGGAAUAUUGUGAGACGAAGCGAUUUCCGGUGCCCAUGAGGGAUUGAAAUCAUAAAUAAGCAAAUCAGGGUUUAAGGUUUUAAGGAUUUCAGAGAAGGUGGGGGCUGCUGUUUCAAAGGCGUUUCUGAGUGGGACCAUGAGAUGGGAAGGGAGGCCAUUUGUGGUGUGGUAGUGAGGGGGAAGAUCAGGGGAAGAGGGAAGAUGAAGCUCUACUAGUUUUAUAGAAGCAGAGGAAUCCUUAUCAGAUACUCUGUUCUUGAUGGAGCUAAGAUUGAUUGGGGUAGAACAGAGGAAUAUAUUACAAUUUCUUUUUGAGAGAUGCUUGGCUAGCUCAAAGAAUGGAGAAAUGUGGCCAUGGGCUAAAAAUGGCAGCAUAACUAUACUGAUUCUACCUUUUUCGAUAUCCAUGAUGAACUCUGUUUUUCUUACUAAAUAAAUUUCUCUCACCCCUCUCUACUGAUUUCAUUAGCGAAGGUGGGGUGUACUAUAUAUAAAAUAGUUAUAUUACUAUUAUACUCCGUCCGUCCCUUCCUUAUUAUUAUUUUGGGUAAUCUCAUGUUAAAUGUCUAUUUUUUUUAAUAACUAAAUUUUUACACAUUUCUUCCUAUUAUACCCAUAGCAUUAAAUAUUUUAUAUUUUUAUUAUUCUAAUUCUCUCCAUAUUUAUUAAGCAUAAUUAGUUAUGUGCUGAAAAUAUUUUGAAUUGAAAAGUUAGAAAAUUACUCUCUCACCUCCAUUGAAAAUAAUUAAAGACAUAUUAUUAUGAGUAAUUUUAUUAUUUUAUUCCUCUUUUUAAUAUGCGGAUUUUUAUCCUGGACGGAGGGAGUAAUAUACGGCGUGUAAUCAAUCACACGCGUACUGAGUGACGUAUGUAGUUUGUAUCGUUAUUGGGCGAUGAAAUUAAUGACAUUGUUGGCUGCAAAAAGAUGAAUAAGAUAUGUUGAGAUAGAAAAUAGGAAAAAUUAAUAAUAAUUUUUUUAAAACUAUCCCUUAUUAUUCUGUUUAUUUUUUUAAUAUUUUAAACUCUUUCUCUCUUUUUAUCCUAACAAAAGAUUUAAGAGUAUUAUAGACAAUUGAGUAUUAUUAUAUUUAAUAUUUUUUAAUCAUUAUUUUAAUUCUUAUGUCCACUUUUAAAUAGGAAAUAGUAAUUUUCCUAUUAAGAGUACUACUCCAUAAUUUUAUUAUUGUUAUUAAUUAAGCUCAUUAAAUGAUAAUACUUAUUCUUUGCCUUGUGUACUUAUCCUUCUAUGCAGAUAGAGAAUAAUAGGAUCGGUCGGAAUAACAAAAAGCACCAAUAAUUUAUUUAUUCGUUGGAAUAAAAUUCUUUUAUCAAUUUUCUAUUUUUAAUGAUCGUCAUUUUUUAUGCAAAUGUCACUUGUGUUGGCUAACGGACAACUUGCUUAAGCUAAAAUAAGUAAAUAACGAGUGCCGUCCAAAGUUUUGCCUCUUUUUUAAUCAUUUUUUAUUAGUAUUAUUGGAUGCCCAUUUUUUAAAUUUAUUGCUGAUGUUACUACGCAUUUUGAAAAGUUAAAGCAUGCACCUUUUCGCCGAAGGCUUUUAUUUUUUUUUAGAUAUUUUUGCAUUAAAAAAAUAAUAUUUUUAUAUCAAAAUUUAUAACGAUAUUUUUUAUGUAAAAAUAUUACAAAAUAUUAUGAAAAUAUCAAUUUAUUUAAAAAAAUGACAAAAUAUUAAUGGCAAACUGCAAGUAUAAUUUUAUACUAGAUGGUUUAAUAUUACAAUGUAUACAUUUCUAAAUAUUAUAUUGUCCGAUUCUAAAUAAGUGAUACAUUUUAAUUUUUUAGAGUCAAUUUAUAAAAUUUUAAAUUUUAAAAUUAAUAUAAUCUGGUUCAAGUUUUAAAAAUAGUAAAGAUAAUAUUUUAUACUUAUUUUAUAAUUAUUAUUUUUAUUUGUACUAAAACUAAAUCAUUUCAUAUCAAUUUUAAAAUUUUAUAAACCGAUUUUAAAAAAAUCAAAACAUUUCUCUUAUUUUAAAAUGAAUUGAGUAUAAGUUGGUCAAAAGUUGGUUGGUUAUGGGUCAUGUUCACAAGUAUAUAAGAAUAUUACUAUAAACAUGACUUUAAGACUUGGUUGUUACGGAAAAAUGUUGUCCUCUAUCCUCAAAAGACGGUCUUUAAUUUACAAAAUAUUUUAUUUCUAAAAAAUAUAUUUUAAAUAUACAAGUUAAAAAUAAAAUAAUUAUAAGACUAAUUUACCCUAAAAAAUAUAUUAAAAUAAGAUCCACUAAAUUUAAAGAGACAAACAUUUAUUAGUAUAAUAGAAUGGAGUUCACCAUGAACAAGAUUGAUAUUUAUUUUAUACUAAUUCCACUCUUUUAAGUUUCAAUUAUCUAAUACCCCCAUCAAAGAAAUCAAAACAAAAUUGAAAGAGAGGAAAUUAAUGGAGCCCUUUUCAAUGUUUUAAUUCUCGUGUUAUGUUUGGAUUGAAAAAUUAAAAUUAGUAAAAGAAUGGAAUAGAGAAGAUAAUAAAAUGGAAUAGAAAGUGAAAAAAUUUAUUUCAUUUCAGCUAAAAUGAUUCAUUUCAUUUUAAUGAACAACCAAACACGAGUUAUUCUAUUUUCACCUUUAUUUCUCUAAUCUACAAAAGUUUUUUAUUUAUUUAUAAUUAAUAACUUAUGAAAUGACACAAUAUUCUAACUAUAGGUAUCAUAAUUUAUUAUCAAACUAACGAUGUUUUUUUUGUUUGGGCAAAUGAACAGAGAUAAAAUUCAAGUAUAUAACAAGUUAAAGAGGAGAUAAAUUAAUUUGUAAGAAUAAUUUGAUUAUUAAUUUAUAAUUUUUAAAUAUAAUGAGUAUAAUCAUAUAUACAUGCACCCAUUAUUAUUUACCAAAAAACAUUCUCAUUAAUUGAUUAAAUUUUUUUUCACUUUAAAUAUACUCCAAAAGGAAUAUAAGCUAUAUUGGUACAUGAAUAAUACUAGAUCCCUAAAGUAUUAUAUUUUCAUCAACUAAAAACCUAUUUUAGAUUGACAAUAAACUAGAAUUCUGACAUAUAAUUCAAUUACUAUCAUUUAUAAAAAUCACCAAUCAAAUAAUUAUUCUAGAGUCCUAGCUAAAGUAAAUGUACACUACAUUUAAUUAUUUAUCUUAAAAUUCACCGAAAUAAACUUACAAUAUAUAAUUCAAUUAUUCAUCUAACUAGAUAAAAAUUUAAUAAAUCAAUAUUAUUUUCUCAAAAUUCUAAUAUAUCAUAUUUAUACUAAGAAUAAAGAAACUUUUACACAUCCGGUCGAAGUUCACACAAUUUAAAUAGAAUAUAUAUAUAUAUAUAUAUAUAUAUAUAUAUAUUCAAUAACAAUAACAACAACAACAAUAAUAAUAAUAAUAAUAAUUUUAAAAAAAAACUAACAAUUGAAUUAAUUAAAUGGAACAUUAAAUUAGUAAAUAAUUGUGAAAAACAAUGAACCUAAAUUGAAAUGAAUUACAAUCGCCAAAAAAAAGAGAAAAAAGAAAGAUAACUUUUUUUUUUAUUAUUAUAUUCAACUGAAAUUUAUUAUUUCUGUCUUUUGACAAAAAUAGAUCCCAAACCUCAUGCACUCAAGCCUAAUCAAUAAAUUUUUUAACCAUUGAACCAUGGUAUGAAAGAUAACUCGUGACUCACACAGGUUCCAAGCUUGUAUAUGUUAAACUUCAUGUGACUGAAAAAACUAAUCAACUGCAAUCAUAACUAGGAGUCGUUUCAGGGUGUUGGAGUGUGGUUUGAUGGGUUCGGGGGAAUGGAAGGGUCACAGUUGAUCUAUAAAUCCCUUGUUUUAAUUAGCUUAAUUCUUCUUUUUGAAGAAGUCAAAUCUGGACUUACAAUUAUAAGGACCAUCAACAUAGGAUUGUUCAUUGUGCAUGUUUAAGUUCAUUAAUUGGUGAUUUAAUAAGCGGAUAAAUUUCGACGUUAACACAAGAUAUGAAAUUCAAUGAGACGAGAGAAGGCUUUCCUCCCAUACGUGGACCUACUUGAGAUGAGCAGAAUAUGUCUGAGCAACUUUGUCAGAUCAGGAAUCUGUUAAAUUUUGCCUCGGUUAGGCUAGCUGUAAGACAGACAUCAUCACAGAGAGGUUAAAGAGUAGCUAGCUGAGAAAAAAUCUGUUCUUUCACGUACAAUAUACUUGGCAAGACAUUGUAGACUUUUAGCAGAGCUUAAUUUAGUUUUAUUACAUACCAAACCAAUGAAAAUCAACCAUUCCUUGGUUUAGUACAAAAACCACUUGAAUUAUAGCAUACAAAGAAAGAGUUCAAAACCCAACCUAAGCGCAUUCAAAAUUAGUACUACUACUAUUACUAUUGUGCAUCUUUCUUCUUCUUACAAAUUUGUACUAGCUCCUCCACUGCCCUAUCAAUCUCUUCCUCUCCUUUCUCUUUCAUUUUCUCACUCAAUUCCCUUGCUUUCCUCCUCAUAACCUCCCCACUUUUCUCCACAACGACUUUUCUUAUUACCUCUGCAAUCCCUUCUCUCUUAUACUUCCCAUUUUCAUCUCUCACAACCUCCAUGCCCACACCAACCUCCGCCGCCAGCUUACCAUUCAAAGGCUGAUCAAGAUGCCUGGCCAUGGCAAUUACUGGAACCCCAAACUUCAUACUCUCCGCAAUAGAACUCCACCCACAAUGGCUCACAAACCCACCGGUGCUUGAAUGUCCUAAAAUUCUUGCCUGUGGAGCCCACCCCUCCACAACCAAUCCUCUGUCUCCUACCCUUUGAACAAAUCCCUCUGGUAAAACCCCUUUUUUCUCUCCUUCAAUUAAUCUCACAGCCCAUAUGAAAUUAACCAUGCUAAUCUCUAGCCCAAUUGCUACUUCUUCCAAUUCCUCAUUGGAGAGAAAAUACUCACUUCCAAAGCAGACAAACACCACUGUAGAUUCAGCCCUUUUGUCAAGCCAGUUUAUAAUCUGCUCUGUUUUUGGAUCUUCAUUAUGGCCCAUAGGAUCUUGAACGAGUGGACCAACAGGAACCAAAGUUUUAUCAGAUAAAGUGGAAAGCAAAUCGAUAUAUUUCCCUUCUAGUUCUAUAAAACUCUUAAUCAAAAUAAUGUCGCAAGAUCGUUCGAAACAAGCGAUAAAAUCAUGAAGUAGCUUCAUGUUAUCUGCAGAAGGUGGUUCAGGGGUAUUAUUACUGUUAUCAUAAAAAUCUGGAAAUGGGUAUUUUUCACCUGGGUUUUUGAAAGCAUGUAGGCCAAUGGAAGAGCUGGCUGCUGCCGUGGUUAGGAAAUAAACUGCCGGAAUAUUGUGAGACGAAGCGAUCUCCGGUGCCCAUGAGGGAUUGAAAUCAUAAAUAAGCAAAUCGGGGUUUAAGGUUUUAAGGAUUUCAGAGAAGGUGGGGCCUGCUGUUUCAAAGGCGUUUAUGAGUGGGACCAUGAGAUGGGAAGGGAGGCCAUUUGUGGUGUGAUAGUGAGGAGGAAGAUCAGGGGAAGAUGGAAGAUGAAGCUCAACUAGUUUUAUAGAAGCAGAGGAAUCCUUAUUCUUGAUGGAGCUAAGAUUGAUUGGGGUAGAACAGAGGAAAACAUUGCAAUUUCUUUUUGCGAGUUGUUUGGCUAGCUCAAAGAAGGGAGAUAUGUGACCAUGGGCUAAAAAUGGUAGCAACGCUAUACUGAUUCUACCUUCUUGGUUAUCCAUGAAUGAACUCUGUUUGUUUCUCUCUCUCUUGCUGUAUAAUUUCAUUAGCCAAGGGUGUGUAUAUAAAUAAAAGAGUAAAAUAUAUUGACACCCCCCGUACAUAAUUAUAAUAACACUCACCAUUUUUUUAGUUUUUCAAGUAACAGUCAGUACCCCUCUAAUCUACAAUAUGUAACAUUCACCGCCUCUAGUAUGGUUGACCAACUAAUAUUUAAAAAUAUUUUUAAUAUAAUGUCUAAUACACCCUUCAAGUUAUAAUGUUUAAUUUCUCCACUAAAUAUAAAUUUGUAUAUCAUAAUUUUUAUUUUACUUGAUCUAAUUAAUUAAAUUAUGAAAUUGUGUAAUAAAUAACAUAAAAGUCAAAAAAUAAUAAAUAUUCAUUUUAUCAGGAAAAUAAAGUCAUGCAAUUUUUAUUAAUUAAAUUUCUCAAAUAUUAAAAUUUAUGUGAUAUAUAUUCAAAUAAUUUUUUUUAAUUAAAAAGUAUAAUAUUAAUACCCAUGAAAAUUACAAAUUAACGCAAUAAAAUUAUUAUUAUUAUUUUCAAAUAUUAAAAUUUACGUAAAACAAACUUAUUAUUACAAUUUAAACGAAUCUUAUUACUCAUAUAAAAAAGUAUUAAAAAUUAUAUUAAUUAUUUUUCUCAUAUAUUAAACUAAACAUAAGUCACACUUAAACAUAAUUAUUUACAGUAAAAAUGACAAAUGUUGUUACUUAAAAAAGAAAAGAAAAAAUAUAUGAAAAGAAUUUUUUUUUAAAAAGAUAGAGGUAGUAAUAAUAUAAUUAUAUUUUUUUAUUUAAUAUUACAUAAAAACAGCGUCAACUGUAUACUAAAAAAAUAUAAUCAAAAUCAUAAACAUCCCAAUUUUUUAUAUAUACUCAAUAAAAAUUAUAAUAUGAAAUAAAAUUCAAAUAAUAUUUUUUGUUGUUAAGUACCAAAAAUUAAACUAUCAAUAUACUCAAUCACUCUAAUUAGAAUAGCUUCAUUAAUAAUUUAAUUUUUUUAAAUAUUUAUAUCACUUAUCCAAAAAUAUGUGUUAGUUAAAGUAAAUUAAUUUUUUAUAAGUUACCAACAAUUUAAAUGAGAUAGUUUUAAUUAUAAAUAAAAUUAUAAUUAAAAUGUCUUGUAUUAAAAAAAAGGAUAAUUAAAUAUAUAUAUAUAUAUAUUAUUUAGUAAUUAAAAUUUGAUAAAAUACAAGGGUAAAUAUGUAAUUUUAUCUAUUUAGUCAAUCCUAAAAACUUGCAGAGGUACUAACUGUUAUUUAAAAAAUUAGAGGAGAGGUGAAUGUUAUUAUGAUUAUCUAGAGGGGAUGUCACUGUAUUUUAUUCUAAAUAAAAUAAGUGGACAAGGGGUAGCGCCGCCCAAGAAGACGAGAUUGAGAUUGGGAUUGGGAAUUGGAAAGAGUGGCCUAUAACUCUUGAUCCCAACACGUGUUAAACGUGAUUGGGAAAGACAGGCAUAUAAGUCUUGUUGUCCCAAUUGUGUGUUGAUCUUAAAACUUAAAACUUCGCGUGGCUGAAAUAAAUAAGCCACUGCAAUCAAAAAUCAAAACUAUGAUUCUAUUAUAAAGUCACGCCAUUUUAUUAAUUUUUUUUAUAAAUAUAUUAUUGAAUUUAUUAAGUAAAAUAAUUUUAAUAAGAAUAUAUUUUCUUUCAAAAAUUAUAAGUAUUAUUUAACUUAUAAUAAAAUUUUAUUUAUACUUAAACUUAAUUAAUUACAUUUGUAUUUUAAUUAAGGGUAAAAGUUCAAAUUAGGUAAUACUAUAUAUGUGGAAGAAAAAAAAUUGUCAAACUAUAUUAUCUAGGCUAUAAUAAAAUUUUAUUUAUUAAUGGUAAUAAUUAAUUUUCCAGAUAUAUGACCCAAAAAUGUAGCAAACUGCCACUGCCUAACCAUUAGAGGUCAUUCUCACCAAGGCACGACUCUAGAAGUUCGAAAUUCCAUAGACAAUCUAAACCACAAUUAUGCAUUGUAAAUAUCACAUAUUAAGCAUAAUUAAAAAUGGGAAAUAAAGUAAUUAAGUUGGAAGAUUCUGAACGGUCCUUGUUCUUUAUCAAUUAAAAGAUUUAAAAUGUUCUGUUUGAGUAUAUAGAUAUCCUGAAUUUUUAAUAUUUUUUCAUUUUAGGAUUGUCUUUUCAAUUUUUUCUAUUACAAGAUUAAAUUUUUAAUUUUUUUUUAUUACGUCUAAUUGAUAAUAUCAUGUCAGAAAAUUAAUGACAUAGUAGCGACACAUAACUAAAAAAAUACUUAUAUAUAUUAUUGAGUCUCAUUUUAAUAUUUAUUCAAAAAAAAAAAUAAAGGUGUAAAUUCGCAGUACCGUAAAUACCAUUUACUUAAAAUGAUGGAACCAAGUUGUUUAAAUUUUUACAUCAUUUAAAAAAAUAUCAUUGACCCUUGUUAUCCAUUUUCCAUCAUAACAUGGAAUCUCUCAUACAUGAUAUAACAAUUCUUAAUCACUUAUUUUUAAAUACAUUCAGAUCUAAUUUUCAUAUUUGUAUAAAAAAAUCUCCUUCAAUUUAAUUCAGCUCUCUACAUACUGCGCGUUAACUAUAAUUAAGACCUUUCAAAUUACUUUUAGAAGGUAAAAUAUCUAUAAAUAAAAUUAAAUACUCCACUACUUGUCUUAUUAUUGGGACGGUCUCAUCGUGAUUAGUGCCAAUUAUAUAUUACUAUUUUCGUUCUUAAGAGAUUGUCAUUUAAGAUUUUUACAUAUGAAUUAAAAAAUUACUGUAUAAUUUAUCAAGUAAAAUUUAUUUGAAAUUCCAUCACUACCUCUUUAUGGGAAAUUAAAAACUAUUAAUACAAAGAAGAGAAUUUUUUCGGACAAUGAGAGAAAGUAGAGAUAAUAUAGAAAAGUAAAUAAUUUAUUCUUCUCAAAAGUUAUAAACGACAAAUAUUUUAAAAUAUAUUUUUUUUAAAACGAUAAUCUUUUAACAACGGGAGGAGUAAUAUAAUUGGCAAGACAUUGUAGGCUUUUAGCAGCUUAAUUUAGUUUUAUUACAUACCAAACCAAUGAAAAUCAACCAUUCCUUGAUUUUCUUCACAACACAAAGUCCAAGUACACAAACCACUUUAAUUAUAGCAUACAAAGAAAGAGUUCAAAGCCCAACCUAAGCGCAUUCAAAAUGAUUUUAAAGGGAAAAAAAUUAGUCUAUUACUACUAUUGUUCAUCUUUCUUCUUCUUACAAAUUUGUACUAGCUCCUCCACUGCCCUAUCAAUCAAUUGCUCUCCUAUCUCUUUCAUUUUCUCACUCAAUUCCCUUGCUUUCCUCCUGAUAACCUCCCCACUUUUCUCCACCACGACUUUUCUUAUUACCCCUGCAAUAUCUUCUCUCUUAUACUUCCCAUUUUCAUCUCUCACAACCUCCAUGCCCACACCAACCUCCGCCGCCAGCUUAGCAUUCAAAGGCUGAUCAAAAUGCCUGGCCAUGGCAAUUACUGGAACCCCAAACUUCAUACUCUCCGUAAUAGAACUCCACCCACAAUGGCUCACAAACCCACCGGUGCUUGAAUGUCCUAAAAUUCUUGCCUGUGGAGCCUACCCCUCCACAACCAAUCCUCUGUCUCCUACCCUUUGAACAAACCCCUCUGGUAAAACCCCUUUUUUCUCUCCUUCAAUUAAUCUCACAGCCCAUAUGAAAUUAACCAUGCUAAUCUCUAGCCCAAUUGCUACUUCUUCCAAUUCCUCAUUGGAGAGAAAAUACUCACUUCCAAAGCAGACAAACACCACUGUAGAUUCAGCCCUUUUGUCAAGCCAGUUUAUAAACUGCUCUGUUUUUGGAUCUUCAUUAUGGCCCAUAGGAUCUUGAACGAGUGGACCAACAGGAACCAAAGUUUUAUCAGAUAAAGUAGAAUAAAAAUCAAAAUAUUUCCCUUCUAGUUCUCUAAAACUCUUAAUCAAAAUAAUGUCGCAAGAUCGUUCGAAACAAGUCAUAAAAUCAAGUAAUAACUUCAUGUUAUCUGCUGAAGGUGGUUCAGGGGUAAUAUUACUGUUAUCAUCAAAAUCUAGAAAUGGGUAUUUUUCACCUGGGUUUUUGAAACUAUGUAGGCUCAUGGAAAAGGAGGCUGCUCCCCCAAUUAUGAAACAAACUGCCGGAAUAUUGUGAGACGAAGCGAUCUCCGGUGCCCAUGAGGGAUUGAAAUCAUAAAUAAGCAAAUCAGGGUUUAAGGUUUUAAGGAUUUCAGAGAAGGUGGGGCCUGCUGUAUCAAAGGCGUUUCUGAGUGGGAUCAUGAGAUGGGAAGGGAGGCCAUUUGUGGUGUGGUAGUGAGGAGGAAGAUCAGGGGAAGAUGGAAGAUGAAGCUCUACUAGUUUUAUAGAAGCAGAGGAAUCCUUAUCAGAUAUUCUGUUCUUGAUG
This 11127-nucleotide long non-coding RNA is filed under the name Panax ginseng (ginseng). RNAcentral's name for it is "long non-coding RNA (PGIN_LNC018180)". Lineage: Eukaryota; Viridiplantae; Streptophyta; Magnoliopsida; Apiales; Araliaceae. The record is from RNAcentral.